UACGUAGGGGGCAAGCGUUGUCCGGAUUUAUUGGGCGUAAAGAGCGCGUAGGCGGUUCGUACAGUCAGACGUGAAAUUCCCGGGCUCAACCUGGGGGCUGCGUUUGAUACGUGCGGGCUUGAGUUCGGAAGAGGGUCGUGGAAUUCCCAGUGUAGAGGUGAAAUUCGUAGAUAUUGGGAAGAACACCGGUGGCGAAGGCGGCGACCUGGUCCAUUACUGACGCUGAGGCGCGACAGCGUGGGGGAGCAAACAGG
Molecule: ribosomal RNA, 254 nt
Filed under: uncultured bacterium
Lineage: Bacteria
Description: partial 16S ribosomal RNA
Rfam family: Bacterial small subunit ribosomal RNA
Source: RNAcentral